GACGAACGCUGGCGGCGUGCUUAACACAUGCAAGUCGAGCGGUAAGGCCCUUUCGGGGGUACACGAGCGGCGAACGGGUGAGUAACACGUGGGUGACCUGCCCUUAGCUCUGGGAUAAGCCUGGGAAACUGGGUCUAAUACCGGAUAUGACUCCAUAACGCAUGUUGUGGGGUGAAAGCCUUGUGCGGCUAGGGAUGGGCCCGCGGCCUAUCAGCUUGUUGGUGGGGUGAUGGCCACCAAGGCGACGACGGGUAGCCGGCCUGAGAGGGCGACCGGCCACACUGGGACUGAGACACGGCCCAGACUCCUACGGGAGGC
Molecule: ribosomal RNA, 318 nt
Filed under: uncultured bacterium
Lineage: Bacteria
Description: bacterial SSU rRNA
Rfam family: Bacterial small subunit ribosomal RNA
Source: RNAcentral